GUGCCAGCCGCCGCGGUAAUACGUAGGUGGCGAGCGUUAUCCGGAAUUACUGGGUGUAAAGGGCGUGUAGGCGGGAAUGUAAGUCAGAUGUGAAACUCCGGGGCUUAACUUCGGUUCUGCAUUCGAAACUAGGUUUCUUGAGUGCUGGAGAGGAAAGCGGAAUUCCUAGUGUAGCGGUGAAAUGCGUAGAUAUUAGGAAGAACACCAGUGGCGAAGGCGGCAUUCUGGACAGUAACUGACGCUGAGGGGCGAAAGCGUGGGGAGCAAACAGGGUUAGAUACCCUGGU
Molecule: ribosomal RNA, 287 nt
Filed under: uncultured bacterium
Lineage: Bacteria
Description: partial 16S rRNA
Rfam family: Bacterial small subunit ribosomal RNA
Source: RNAcentral